RNAcentral lists this ribosomal RNA (492 nucleotides) under uncultured bacterium. RNAcentral describes it as "partial 16S ribosomal RNA". It matches the Rfam family "Bacterial small subunit ribosomal RNA", at positions 29 to 507 of the family's 1533-position model. The record is from RNAcentral.
AGUGAACGCUGGCGGUAGGCCUAACACAUGCAAGUAGAACGGCAGCACAGUAAGAGCUUGCUCUUACGGGUGGCGAGUGGCGGACGGGUGAGGAAUACAUCGGAAUCUACUUUUUCGUGGGGGAUAACGUAGGGAAACUUACGCUAAUACCGCAUACGACCUACGGGUGAAAGCAUGGGAUCUUCGGACCUUGCGCGAUUGAAUGAGCCGAUGUCGGAUUAGCUAGUUGGCGGGGUAAAGGCCCACCAAGGCGACGAUCCGUAGCUGGUCUGAGAGGAUGAUCAGCCACACUGGAACUGAGACACGGUCCAGACUCCUACGGGAGGCAGCAGUGGGGAAUAUUGGACAAUGGGCGCAAGCCUGAUCCAGCCAUACCGCGUGGGUGAAGAAGGCCUUCGGGUUGUAAAGCCCUUUUGUUGGGAAAGAAAAGCAGCAGGUUAAUACCCCGCUGUUCUGACGGUACCCAAAGAAUAAGCACCGGCUAACUUCGUG